GAUGAACGCUGGCGGCGUGCCUAAUACAUGCAAGUCGAGCGAACAGACGAGGAGCUUGCUCCUUUGACGUUAGCGGCGGACGGGUGAGUAACACGUAGGUAACCUACCUAUAAGACUGGGAUAACUUCGGGAAACCGGAGCUAAUACCGGAUAAUAUUUCGAACCGCAUGGUUCGAUAGUGAAAGAUGGCUUUGCUAUCACUUAUAGAUGGACCUGCGCCGUAUUAGCUAGUUGGUAAGGUAACGGCUUACCAAGGCAACGAUACGUAGCCGACCUGAGAGGGUGAUCGGCCACACUGGAACUGAGACACGGUCCAGACUCCUACGGGAGGCAGCAGUAGGGAAUCCUCCGCAAUGGGCGAAAGCCUGACGGAGCAACGCCGCGUGAGGGAUGAAGGUCUUCGGAUCGUAAAACUCUGUUAUUAGGGAAGAACAAACGUGUAAGUAACUGUGCACGUCUUGACGGUACCUAAUCAGAAAGCCACGGCUAACUACGUG
This 497-nucleotide ribosomal RNA is filed under the name uncultured bacterium. RNAcentral describes it as "partial 16S ribosomal RNA". It matches the Rfam family "Bacterial small subunit ribosomal RNA", at positions 28 to 507 of the family's 1533-position model. The record is from RNAcentral.